GAUUACCUACGGGAGGCAGCAGUAGGGAAUAUUGCUCAAUGGGGGAAACCCUGAAGCAGCAACGCCGCGUGAGGGAUGAAGGUCUUCGGAUCGUAAACCUCUGUCAGCAGGGAAGAACGGUCACUGUGCUAAUCAGCAGUAAAUUGACGGUACCUGCAAAGGAAGCACCGGCUAACUCCGUGCCAGCAGCCGCGGUAAUACGGAGGGUGCGAGCGUUAAUCGGAAUUACUGGACGUAAAGCGCUCGUAGGCGGUAUGUCAAGUCAAGGGUGAAAUCCCCGCGCUUAACGUGGGAACUGCCUUUGA
Molecule: ribosomal RNA, 305 nt
Filed under: uncultured bacterium
Lineage: Bacteria
Description: bacterial SSU rRNA
Rfam family: Bacterial small subunit ribosomal RNA
Source: RNAcentral